RNAcentral lists this transfer RNA (78 nucleotides) under Asanoa siamensis. RNAcentral's name for it is "tRNA-Ala". The record is from RNAcentral. Lineage: Bacteria; Bacillati; Actinomycetota; Actinomycetes; Micromonosporales; Micromonosporaceae.
CGGCGACUGGCUGGGCCUGCUGGCCGGCGCGGCGUUCGCGUCGUCGCAGGUGUCCGGUUCGACCGCCAAGGGCGCCGC